UGAGUACAGUGGCGUACGGGUGAGUAACACGUGGAUGAUCUACCCUGGAGUGGGGAAUAACGCUGGGAAACCGGCGCUAAUACCGCAUAAUCCCGAGAGGGCAAAGGGGCAAUUCGCUUCAGGAGGAGUCCGCGGCCGAUUAGCUUGUUGCAGGGUAAAAGCCUACCAAGGCAACGAUCGGUAGCCGGCCUGAGAGGGCACACGGCCACACUGGCACUGAAACACGGGCCAG
This 232-nucleotide ribosomal RNA is filed under the name uncultured bacterium. RNAcentral's name for it is "partial 16S ribosomal RNA". It matches the Rfam family "Bacterial small subunit ribosomal RNA", at positions 87 to 334 of the family's 1533-position model. The record is from RNAcentral.